RNAcentral lists this ribosomal RNA (1450 nucleotides) under uncultured organism. Its description in RNAcentral is "SSU rRNA". It matches the Rfam family "Bacterial small subunit ribosomal RNA". The record is from RNAcentral.
UGAACGCUAGCUACAGGCUUAACACAUGCAAGUCGAGGGGCAGCAUGGUCUUAGCUUGCUAAGGCCGAUGGCGACCGGCGCACGGGUGAGUAACACGUAUCCAACCUGCCGUCUACUCUUGGACAGCCUUCUGAAAGGAAGAUUAAUACAAGAUGGCAUCAUGAGUCCGCAUGUUCACAUGAUUAAAGGUAUUCCGGUAGACGAUGGGGAUGCGUUCCAUUAGAUAGUAGGCGGGGUAACGGCCCACCUAGUCUUCGAUGGAUAGGGGUUCUGAGAGGAAGGUCCCCCACAUUGGAACUGAGACACGGUCCAAACUCCUACGGGAGGCAGCAGUGAGGAAUAUUGGUCAAUGGGCGAGAGCCUGAACCAGCCAAGUAGCGUGAAGGAUGACUGCCCUAUGGGUUGUAAACUUCUUUUAUAAAGGAAUAAAGUCGGGUAUGGAUACCCGUUUGCAUGUACUUUAUGAAUAAGGAUCGGCUAACUCCGUGCCAGCAGCCGCGGUAAUACGGAGGAUCCGAGCGUUAUCCGGAUUUAUUGGGUUUAAAGGGAGCGUAGAUGGAUGUUUAAGUCAGUUGUGAAAGUUUGCGGCUCAACCGUAAAAUUGCAGUUGAUACUGGAUAUCUUGAGUGCAGUUGAGGCAGGCGGAAUUCGUGGUGUAGCGGUGAAAUGCUUAGAUAUCACGAAGAACUCCGAUUGCGAAGGCAGCCUGCUAAGCUGCAACUGACAUUGAGGCUCGAAAGUGUGGGUAUCAAACAGGAUUAGAUACCCUGGUAGUCCACACGGUAAACGAUGAAUACUCGCUGUUUGCGAUAUACAGCAAGCGGCCAAGCGAAAGCGUUAAGUAUUCCACCUGGGGAGUACGCCGGCAACGGUGAAACUCAAAGGAAUUGACGGGGGUCCGCACAAGCGGAGGAACAUGUGGUUUAAUUCGAUGAUACGCGAGGAACCUUACCCGGGCUUAAAUUGCAGAUGAAUUACGGUGAAAGCCGUAAGCCGCAAGGCAUCUGUGAAGGUGCUGCAUGGUUGUCGUCAGCUCGUGCCGUGAGGUGUCGGCUUAAGUGCCAUAACGAGCGCAACCCUUGUUGUCAGUUACUAACAGGUUCCGCUGAGGACUCUGACAAGACUGCCAUCGUAAGAUGUGAGGAAGGUGGGGAUGACGUCAAAUCAGCACGGCCCUUACGUCCGGGGCUACACACGUGUUACAAUGGGGGGUACAGAGGGCCGCUACCACGCGAGUGGAUGCCAAUCCCCAAAACCUCUCUCAGUUCGGACUGGAGUCCGCAACCCGACUCCACGAAGCUGGAUUCGCUAGUAAUCGCGCAUCAGCCACGGCGCGGUGAAUACGUUCCCGGGCCUUGUACACACCGCCCGUCAAGCCAUGGGAGCCGGGGGUACCUGAAGUGCGUAACCGCGAGGAGCGCCCUAGGGUAAAACUGGUGACUGGGGCUAA